GCCUACGGGGGGCAGCAGUAGGGAAUUUCCGUCAAUGGGCGCAAGCCUGAACGAGCAAUGCCGCGUGAACGAGGAAGGUCUUCGGAUCGUAAAGUUCUGUUGAAGGGGAAAAAGAGCGGAGAGAGGAAAUGGUCUCCGAUUGAUAUUACCCUUCGAGGAAGUCACGGCUAACUACGUGCCAGCAGCCGCGGUAAUACGUAGGUGGCGAGCGUUAUCCGGAAUGAUUGGGCGUAAAGGGUGCGUAGGCGGCCUGCUAAGUCUGGAGUGAAAGGUACCGGCUCAACCGGUACAGGCUCUGGAAACUG
RNAcentral lists this ribosomal RNA (305 nucleotides) under uncultured bacterium. RNAcentral's name for it is "bacterial SSU rRNA". It matches the Rfam family "Bacterial small subunit ribosomal RNA", at positions 337 to 635 of the family's 1533-position model. The record is from RNAcentral.